AUGGCUCAGCGGUUAAGAGCACUGACUGCUCUUCCAGAGGACCUGGGUUCGAGUCCCAGU
RNAcentral lists this transfer RNA (60 nucleotides) under Neotoma lepida (desert woodrat). It matches the Rfam family "tRNA", at positions 7 to 64 of the family's 71-position model. From Rfam's summary of the family: Transfer RNA (tRNA) molecules are approximately 80 nucleotides in length. Their secondary structure includes four short double-helical elements and three loops (D, anti-codon, and T loops). Further hydrogen bonds mediate the characteristic L-shaped molecular structure. tRNAs have two regions of fundamental functional importance: the anti-codon, which is responsible for specific mRNA codon recognition, and the 3' end, to which the tRNAs corresponding amino acid is attached (by aminoacyl-tRNA synthetases). tRNAs cope with the degeneracy of the genetic code in two manners: having more than one tRNA (with a specific anti-codon) for a particular amino acid; and 'wobble' base-pairing, i.e. permitting non-standard base-pairing at the 3rd anti-codon position. The record is from Rfam by way of RNAcentral. Lineage: Eukaryota; Metazoa; Chordata; Mammalia; Rodentia; Cricetidae.